Molecule: ribosomal RNA, 303 nt
Filed under: uncultured bacterium
Lineage: Bacteria
Description: bacterial SSU rRNA
Rfam family: Bacterial small subunit ribosomal RNA
Source: RNAcentral
UGGGGAAUAUUGCACAAUGGGGGAAACCCUGAUGCAGCGACGCCGCGUGAGUGAAGAAGUAUUUCGGUAUGUAAAGCUCUAUCAGCAGGGAAGAAAAAAGACGGUACCUGACUAAGAAGCCCUGGCUAACUACGUGCCAGCAGCCGCGGUAAUACGUAGGGGGCAAGCGUUAUCCGGAUUUACUGGGUGUAAAGGGAGCGUAGACGGCGCGGCAAGUCUGAAGUGAAAGGCAGGGGCUUAACCCCUGAACUGCUUUGGAAACUGCCAUGCUAGAGUGCUGGAGAGGUAAGUGGAAUUCCUAGU